Molecule: unclassified non-coding RNA, 89 nt
Filed under: Pseudomonas gessardii
Lineage: Bacteria; Pseudomonadati; Pseudomonadota; Gammaproteobacteria; Pseudomonadales; Pseudomonadaceae
Source: RNAcentral
UGUGGGAGCGGGCUUGCCCGCGAUAGCGAUGGGUCAGUCAAAUUUCUAUCAACUGACCCUCCGCUAUCGCGGGCAAGCCCGCUUCCACA